ACAGAUCGUUCAGAGUUUGAUCCUGGCUCAGGACGAACGCUGGCGGCGUGCCUAACACAUGCAAGUCGAACGGAGCUGUUUUGGAAGUCCUUCGGGGCGGAAGAGACAGCUUAGUGGCGAACGGGUGAGUAACGCGUGAGCAACCUGCCUUUCAGAGGGGGACAACAGUUGGAAACGACUGCUAAUACCGCAUAAUGCAACGGAGCCGCAUGACUCUGUUGCCAAAGAUUUAUCGCUGAAAGAUGGGCUCGCGUCUGAUUAGAUAGUUGGUGGGGUAACGGCCUACCAAGUCGACGAUCAGUAGCCGGACUGAGAGGUUGAACGGCCACAUUGGGACUGAGAUACGGCCCAG
This 352-nucleotide ribosomal RNA is filed under the name uncultured bacterium. RNAcentral describes it as "bacterial SSU rRNA". It matches the Rfam family "Bacterial small subunit ribosomal RNA", at positions 1 to 334 of the family's 1533-position model. The record is from RNAcentral.